UGGAUAAAGCUUUUUGUUUGGAAUGAUCACUCUGGCCGUGCUGUUUGCCGUAUAAGGAGAUUGCUGUGAGGCAGCAAGUUUCCUUGUUCGAUCACUCUUUGUACAGCAAAGUGCCAAAGCAGCAUCCCUCUUUUCCUGAUGUCUAGCAUCCUCCUUCUGUAAAUCCGAAACAGUGGGUUGAUUUUUGUUCAAUUGAACAAGGCUCGGUUCUGGAGCUUUAUCUUUCGAGGAACUAGCAUAUGCGGGCAC
This 249-nucleotide long non-coding RNA is filed under the name Brassica napus (rape). Its description in RNAcentral is "long non-coding RNA (BNAP_LNC023652)". The record is from RNAcentral. Lineage: Eukaryota; Viridiplantae; Streptophyta; Magnoliopsida; Brassicales; Brassicaceae.